UACGUAGGGUGCAAGCGUUAAUCGGAAUUACUGGGCGUAAAGCGUGCGCAGGCGGUUUUGUAAGACCGAUGUGAAAACCCCGGGCUUAACCUGGGAACUGCAUUGGUGACUGCAAGGCUUGAGUGUGUCAGAGGGAGGUGGAAUUCCGCGUGUAGCAGUGAAAUGCGUAGAUAUGCGGAGGAACACCGAUGGCGAAGGCAGCCUCCUGGGAUAACACUGACGCUCAUGCACGAAAGCGUGGGGAGCAAACAGG
Molecule: ribosomal RNA, 253 nt
Filed under: uncultured bacterium
Lineage: Bacteria
Description: partial 16S ribosomal RNA
Rfam family: Bacterial small subunit ribosomal RNA
Source: RNAcentral